This is a non-coding RNA of Lactarius pseudohatsudake, 99 nucleotides long. Lineage: Eukaryota; Fungi; Basidiomycota; Agaricomycetes; Russulales; Russulaceae. The record is from the annotation of a GenBank genome assembly.
GCCCGCCUAGCUCAAUCGGAUAGAGCGUCAGACUCUUAGGCGGGUGUUCAUUACACCUCUGUAAUCUGAAGGCUGCGAGUUCGACCCUCGCGGUGGGCU